AGAGUUUGAUCCUGGCUCAGAAUCAACGCUGGCGGCGUGCCUAACACAUGCAAGUCGAACGAGAAAGUGGAGCAAUCCAUGAGUAAAGUGGCGACCGGGUGAGUAACACGUGACUAACCUACCCUCGAGUGUGGAAUAACAUCGGGAAACCGAUGCUAAUACCGCAUAACAUCGCAAGAUCAAAGGAGUAAUCCGCUUGAGGAGGGGGUCGCGGCUGAUUAGCUAGUUGGCGGGGUAACGGCCCACCAAGGCGAAGAUCGGUAGCCGGCCUGAGAGGGCGCACGGCCACACUGGAACUGAAACACGGUCCAGACUCCUACGGGAGGCAGCAGUGGGGAAUUUUGCGCAAUGGGGGAAACCCUGACGCAGCAACGCCGCGUGGAGGAUGAAGCCCCUUGGGGUG
Molecule: ribosomal RNA, 403 nt
Filed under: uncultured bacterium
Lineage: Bacteria
Description: bacterial SSU rRNA
Rfam family: Bacterial small subunit ribosomal RNA
Source: RNAcentral